RNAcentral lists this ribosomal RNA (524 nucleotides) under Limnius perrisi. RNAcentral describes it as "partial 16S ribosomal RNA". It matches the Rfam family "Bacterial large subunit ribosomal RNA", at positions 1827 to 2610 of the family's 2925-position model. RNAcentral also lists the same sequence under 1 other name. Lineage: Eukaryota; Metazoa; Arthropoda; Insecta; Coleoptera; Elmidae. The record is from RNAcentral.
CAUGUCCUUUUGAUUAUAUUUGAAGGUUUGACCUGCCCGCUGAUUAUUUGAAUGGCCGCGGUAUUUUGACCGUGCAAAGGUAGCAUAAUAAUUAGUUUCUUGAUUGGAAGCUGGAAUGAAUGGUUGGACGAGAAAAUUACUGUCUCUGGCAAAUUUUAAAUAAAAUUUUAUUUUUAAGUUAAAAAGCUUAAAUUUUUUUAAAAGACGAGAAGACCCUAUAGAGUUUAAUAUUAUUAAUUUGUUACAAAUUUAGGUAUUUAAGUUUUCUCUGGUUAUUAAUAUUUUAUUGGGGUGAUAAAAGGAUUGAGUUAACUCCUUUUUAAUUAAUACAUUAAUUUAUGAUUAUUUGAUCCAAUUUUUUUGAUUAUAAGAAUAAAUUACCUUAGGGAUAACAGCGUAAUCUUUUUAGAGAGUUCUUAUCGAAAUGAAGGGUUGCGACCUCGAUGUUGGAUUAAAGUUUAUUUUUGGUGUAGAAGCUAAAAUAUUGAGUCUGUUCGACUUUUAAAACUUUACAUGAUCUGAGU